RNAcentral lists this ribosomal RNA (497 nucleotides) under uncultured bacterium. Its description in RNAcentral is "partial 16S ribosomal RNA". It matches the Rfam family "Bacterial small subunit ribosomal RNA", at positions 28 to 507 of the family's 1533-position model. The record is from RNAcentral.
GAUGAACGCUGGCGGCGUGCCUAAUACAUGCAAGUCGAGCGAACGGACGAGAAGCUUGCUUCUCUGAUGUUAGCGGCGGACGGGUGAGUAACACGUGGAUAACCUACCUUUAAGACUGGGAUAACUUCGGGAAACCGGAGCUAAUACCGGAUAAUAUUUUGAACCGCAUGGUUCAAAAGUAAAAGACGGUCUUGCUGUCACUUAUAGAUGGAUCCGCGCUGCAUUAGCUAGUUGGUAAGGUAACGGCUUACCAAGGCAACGAUGCAUAGCCGACCUGAGAGGGUGAUCGGCCACACUGGAACUGAGACACGGUCCAGACUCCUACGGGAGGCAGCAGUAGGGAAUCUUCCGCAAUGGGCGAAAGCCUGACGGAGCAACGCCGCGUGAGUGAUGAAGGUCUUCGGAUCGUAAAACUCUGUUAUUAGGGAAGAACAUAUGUGUAAGUAACUGUGCACAUCUUGACGGUACCUAAUCAGAAAGCCACGGCUAACUACGUG